AUGCUGAGAUUGGUGAGAAGCUUGUGCCUAAGUUUAAUUGAGACAACCACAUCCAUGUUGUUUCUUGGCAUGGGCAACCACAUCUAUGCUAAUAUUGCUCCUGAGCUCCUCUAUAGGUCUCUUGCUGUGAAGCUUGUGGUUGGCAUGACUUUCAAGUAUUCAAUUCUUGUGAGGGUGGAGUUGGAGAAGGUGGGGCGUCAGAGCAGAGCCAGUUGCAGCAUCCACGACCUCCUUGGGCAUGGCCAAUCCUGCCAGAUUGACCAGGUUGUAGGGUUUGGUCAGCAGUGUGUGUGGCCAGUGGUUGGAGCACACUGA
Molecule: ribosomal RNA, 315 nt
Filed under: Triticum aestivum (bread wheat)
Lineage: Eukaryota; Viridiplantae; Streptophyta; Magnoliopsida; Poales; Poaceae
Description: partial small subunit ribosomal RNA
Source: RNAcentral